This 482-nucleotide ribosomal RNA is filed under the name uncultured bacterium. RNAcentral describes it as "partial 16S ribosomal RNA". It matches the Rfam family "Bacterial small subunit ribosomal RNA", at positions 30 to 507 of the family's 1533-position model. The record is from RNAcentral.
AUUGAACGCUGGCGGCAUGCCUUACACAUGCUAGUCGAACGGUAACAGGUCUUCGGAUGCUGACGAGUGGCGCACGGGUGAGUAAUACAUCGGAACGUGCCCGAUCGUGGGGGAUAACGAGGCGAAAGCUUUGCUAAUACCGCAUACGAUCUACGGAUGAAAGCGGGGGAUCUUCGGACCUCGCGCGGACGGAGCGGCCGAUGGCAGAUUAGGUAGUUGGUGGGAUAAAAGCUUACCAAGCCGACGAUCUGUAGCUGGUCUGAGAGGAUGAUCAGCCACACUGGGACUGAGACACGGCCCAGACUCCUACGGGAGGCAGCAGUGGGGAAUUUUGGACAAUGGGCGAAAGCCUGAUCCAGCCAUGCCGCGUGCAGGAUGAAGGCCUUUGGGUUGUAAACUGCUUUUGUACGGAACGAAAAGCCUCUUUCUAAUAAAGAGGGGUCAUGACGGUACCGGAAGAAUAAGCACCGGCUAACUACGUG